UGGGCUGGAGCCUGCACAGUGG
Molecule: microRNA, 22 nt
Filed under: Ornithorhynchus anatinus (platypus)
Lineage: Eukaryota; Metazoa; Chordata; Mammalia; Monotremata; Ornithorhynchidae
Description: oan-miR-7409-5p
Source: miRBase by way of RNAcentral